AUACCUUUCUCGGCCUUUUGGCUAAGAUCAAGUGUAGUAUCUGUUCUUAUCAGUUUAAUAUCUGAUAUGUGAGUCAUCGACUCACACGAUAUUAACUCUAUUUUUUAAGGGGGAGAGUCUAUUAAGGUAGCUUGCUAUCUGGGCUCUCAAGUGUCGCCUAUGCGUUGCACUAUUGCAAGGGCCUGGCGAACCCCAC
This is a non-coding RNA of Nicotiana sylvestris (wood tobacco), 196 nucleotides long. The record is from Rfam. Lineage: Eukaryota; Viridiplantae; Streptophyta; Magnoliopsida; Solanales; Solanaceae.